AUACGUAGGUGGCAAGCGUUGUCCGGAUUUACUGGGCGUAAAGGGUGCGUAGGUGGAUAUUUAAGUCAGAUGUGAAACCCCUGGGCUCAACCCAGGACCUGCAUUUGAAACUGGAUGUCUAGAGUGCGGGAGAGGUAAGUGGAAUUCCUAGUGUAGCGGUGAAAUGCGUAGAGAUUAGGAAGAACACCAGUGGCGAAGGCGACUUACUGGACCGUAACUGACACUGAGGCACGAAAGCGUGGGUAGCAAACAGGAUUAGAUACCCUGGUAGUCCACGCCGUAAACGAUGAGUACUAGGUGUAGGGGGUAUCGACUCCCCCUGUGCCGCAGUUAACACAAUAAGUACUCCGCCUGGGAAGUACGAUCGCAAGAUUAAA
Molecule: ribosomal RNA, 377 nt
Filed under: uncultured bacterium
Lineage: Bacteria
Description: bacterial SSU rRNA
Rfam family: Bacterial small subunit ribosomal RNA
Source: RNAcentral